AUUGAACGCUGGCGGCAUGCCUUACACAUGCAAGUCGAACGGCAGCGCGGGAGCAAUCCUGGCGGCGAGUGGCGAACGGGUGAGUAAUACAUCGGAACGUGCCCAAUCGUGGGGGAUAACGCAGCGAAAGCUGUGCUAAUACCGCAUACGAUCUACGGAUGAAAGCAGGGGAUCGCAAGACCUUGCGCGAAUGUAGCGGCCGAUGGCAGAUUAGGUAGUUGGUGAGGUAAAGGCUCACCAAGCCUUCGAUCUGUAGCUGGUCUGAGAGGACGACCAGCCACACUGGGACUGAGACACGGCCCAGACUCCUACGGGAGGCAGCAGUGGGGAAUUUUGGACAAUGGGCGAAAGCCUGAUCCAGCCAUGCCGCGUGCAGGAUGAAGGCCUUCGGGUUGUAAACUGCUUUUGUACGGAACGAAACGGUCUUUUCUAAUAAAGAAGGAUAAUGACGGUACCGUAAGAAUAAGCACCGGCUAACUACGUG
RNAcentral lists this ribosomal RNA (484 nucleotides) under uncultured bacterium. RNAcentral describes it as "partial 16S ribosomal RNA". It matches the Rfam family "Bacterial small subunit ribosomal RNA", at positions 30 to 507 of the family's 1533-position model. The record is from RNAcentral.